ACCCUAGCUCUCGCCACUGUCAUCCCCUCAUCUCUCUCUCCUUCACCAAACACACAACAGCCCUUCACCUCCUCCUCCUCCCGUUCCCCCCCACCAACAGAGUACAAGGAUCAUCUUAUCCUGGUUUCACUCCUCCAGGACGAUGGCAAGAACUAUAAGCAACGAACCAUCACAAAAAUGACAUCAUUACAUUACACAUGCUUGUUGUUUUACUGAUCACUCCAGAGGAACAUCACGCCAGUACCUCUGUCUCCAAAUGACACUGGAACAUGCUUGGUCGUUGGGAACGGGCUUCCCAGUUUGCCAAACAAUUUGAGUUGAGAAAGGCAAACACACGAGUUUUGAGAGAUGAGCUGUUAUUCUUGGAAAGAUUUAUAUAUAUGGGUAAGAUACCAAGAUUUGGAUCUCAAUACGAUGCCAAGUAAUCAAACAACAGAAGCCAUUCCACAAUAUGCUCUGAAAAGAAGCACGCUGGCUACAGGGCCUGUGGAUCCCUCCACUCAGUUUUAUUUUUUGAUAAUAACCAUCACUCAUUGCUGUCUUUUUCUUAAUUAAAUUACAAGGCAUGCAUCGUUUUUGUUCUCUCUCUCUCACACCUGUGGAAUUCGUGGGUGCCCAUCUGAGUUGGGGAAUUGAUUUCAUGUCUGGAAGAACAAGAAAAGGAAGAAAGAAACCUGGUGGUGGAGUACUUCCCUUGCCAACACUUGUUGGGAUUGGUUUAUAAAAUACUUGGUGGGUUUUUUCAAGAUCAAAUUAUAUGUAAAAUUACAUGUUUAAAACCAUGUUAGAUUUAAUGAUUCAACUUUACUACUU
This is a long non-coding RNA of Populus trichocarpa (black cottonwood), 813 nucleotides long. RefSeq lists it as uncharacterized. The transcript is spliced from 2 exons. The record is from RefSeq and is a predicted model, not a curated record. Lineage: Eukaryota; Viridiplantae; Streptophyta; Magnoliopsida; Malpighiales; Salicaceae.